This 449-nucleotide ribosomal RNA is filed under the name uncultured bacterium. Its description in RNAcentral is "partial 16S ribosomal RNA". It matches the Rfam family "Bacterial small subunit ribosomal RNA", at positions 29 to 523 of the family's 1533-position model. The record is from RNAcentral.
AACGAACGCUGGCGGCAUGCCUAACACAUGCAAGUCGAACGAGGUCUUCGGGUCUAGUGGCGCACGGGUGCGUAACGCGUGGGAAUCUGCCCUUUGGUUCGGAAUAACAGUUGGAAACGACUGCUAAUACCGGAUGAUGACGAAAGUCCAAAGAUUUAUCGCCAGAGGAUGAGCCCGCGUAGGAUUAGCUAGUUGGUGUGGUAAAGGCGCACCAAGGCGACGAUCCUUAGCUGGUCUGAGAGGAUGAUCAGCCACACUGGGACUGAGACACGGCCCAGACUCCUACGGGAGGCAGCAGUGGGGAAUAUUGGACAAUGGGCGAAAGCCUGAUCCAGCAAUGCCGCGUGAGUGAUGAAGGCCUUAGGGUUGUAGAGCUCUUUUACCCGGGAUGAUAACGACAGUACCGGGAGAAUAAGCUCCGGCUAACUCCGUGCCAGCAGCCGCGGUAA